GGGAGUCUGGCCGAGUGGUUAAGGCGCUGUGUUUAGGUGGGACGAAAGUCCAUCCAAACGAUCAAAAGAAGAUCCGUAAAUUCCGCAGUGGGAAACCGCGCAGGUUCGAAUCCUGCGGCUCUCA
RNAcentral lists this transfer RNA (124 nucleotides) under Lachnellula arida. It matches the Rfam family "tRNA". From Rfam's summary of the family: Transfer RNA (tRNA) molecules are approximately 80 nucleotides in length. Their secondary structure includes four short double-helical elements and three loops (D, anti-codon, and T loops). The record is from Rfam by way of RNAcentral. Lineage: Eukaryota; Fungi; Ascomycota; Leotiomycetes; Helotiales; Lachnaceae.